RNAcentral lists this unclassified non-coding RNA (56 nucleotides) under synthetic construct. The record is from RNAcentral.
GGGAGAGCACACAAGCCUGAUGAGUCCGUGAGGACGAAACGGUACCCGGUACCGUC